RNAcentral lists this ribosomal RNA (398 nucleotides) under uncultured bacterium. Its description in RNAcentral is "partial 16S ribosomal RNA". It matches the Rfam family "Bacterial small subunit ribosomal RNA", at positions 523 to 918 of the family's 1533-position model. The record is from RNAcentral.
AUACGUAGGGUGCGAGCGUUGUCCGGAAUUACUGGGCGUAAAGAGCUCGUAGGUGGUUUGUCGCGUCGUCUGUGAAAUUCCGGGGCUUAACUCCGGGCGUGCAGGCGAUACGGGCAUAACUUGAGUACUGUAGGGGAGACUGGAAUUCCUGGUGUAGCGGUGAAAUGCGCAGAUAUCAGGAGGAACACCGGUGGCGAAGGCGGGGCUCUGGGCAGUAACUGACGCUGAGGAGCGAAAGCAUGGGUAGCGAACAGGAUUAGAUACCCUGGUAGUCCAUGCCGUAAACGGUGGGCGCUGGUUGUAGGGGUCUUCCACGACUUCUGUGCCGUAGCUAACGCAUUAAGCGCCCCGCCUGGGGAGUACGGUCGCAAGGCUAAAACUCAAAUGAAUUGACGGGG